UACGUAGGGGGCGAGCGUUGUCCGGAUUCAUUGGGCGUAAAGCGUGCGUAGGCGGCUCGACAAGUCGGCCGUGAAAUCUCCAGGCUCAACUUGGAGGGGUCGGGCGAGACUGUCGGGCUCGAGGUGGGCAGAGGGCAGUGGAAUUCCGGGUGUAGUGGUGGAAUGCGUAGAGAUCCGGAGGAACACCAGUGGCGAAGGCGGCUGCCUGGGCCUGGCCUGACGCUGAGGCGCGAAAGCGUGGGGAGCAAACAGG
This 253-nucleotide ribosomal RNA is filed under the name uncultured bacterium. Its description in RNAcentral is "partial 16S ribosomal RNA". It matches the Rfam family "Bacterial small subunit ribosomal RNA", at positions 524 to 776 of the family's 1533-position model. The record is from RNAcentral.